Molecule: unclassified non-coding RNA, 246 nt
Filed under: uncultured Mortierellaceae
Lineage: Eukaryota; Fungi; Mortierellomycota; Mortierellomycetes; Mortierellales; Mortierellaceae
Description: partial internal transcribed spacer 2
Source: RNAcentral
AACACCUCAAAGACUUCAAUUUGUUUUGAAUGGCUUUGGACUUGAGCAAUCCCAACACCAGUCUUUACGAUCGGUGGAGGGUUGCUUGAAAUGCAGGUGCAGCUGGACAUUCUCCUGAGCUAAAAGCAUAUUUAUUUAGUCCCGUCAAACGGAUUAUUACUUUUGCUGCAGCUAACAUAAAGGGAGUUGGACCGUAUUGGCUGACUGAUGCAGGAUUUCAAAAGGGUCGGCAACGAUUCUUGUAAA